UACGUAGGGGGCAAGCGUUAUCCGGAUUUACUGGGUGUAAAGGGAGCGUAGGCGGUUAGAUAAGUCUGAUGUGAAAGCCCACAGCUUAACUGUGGGAUUGCAUUGGAAACUAUAGAACUAGAGUGUCGGAGAGGUAAGUGGAAUUCCUAGUGUAGCGGUGAAAUGCGUAGAUAUUAGGAGGAACACCAGUGGCGAAGGCGGCUUACUGGACGAUGACUGACGCUGAGGCUCGAAAGCGUGGGGAGCAAACAGG
This 253-nucleotide ribosomal RNA is filed under the name uncultured bacterium. RNAcentral describes it as "partial 16S ribosomal RNA". It matches the Rfam family "Bacterial small subunit ribosomal RNA", at positions 524 to 776 of the family's 1533-position model. The record is from RNAcentral.